CCUACGGGGUGCAGCAGUGGGGAAUAUUGGACAAUGGGCGAAAGCCUGAUCCAGCCAUGCCGCGUGUGUGAAGAAGGCCUUCGGGUUGUAAAGCACUUUCAGUGGGGAAGAAAGCCUUGGGGCUAAUACCCUCGAGGAAGGACAUCACCCACAGAAGAAGCACCGGCUAACUCCGUGCCAGCAGCCGCGGUAAUACGGAGGGUGCGAGCGUUAAUCGGAAUUACUGGGCGUAAAGCGCGCGUAGGCGGUCUGAUAAGCCGGUUGUGAAAGCCCCGGGCUCAACCUGGGAACGGCAUCCGGAACUGUCAGGCUAGAGUGCAGGAGAGGAAGGUAGAAUUCCCGGUGUAGCGGUGAAAUGCGUAGAGAUCGGGAGGAAUACCAGUGGCGAAGGCGGUCUUCUGGACUGACACUGACGCUGAGGUGCGAAAGCGUGGGUAGCAAACAGGAUUAGAUACCUUGUAGUC
RNAcentral lists this ribosomal RNA (464 nucleotides) under Vreelandella stevensii. RNAcentral's name for it is "partial 16S ribosomal RNA". It matches the Rfam family "Bacterial small subunit ribosomal RNA", at positions 338 to 795 of the family's 1533-position model. Lineage: Bacteria; Pseudomonadati; Pseudomonadota; Gammaproteobacteria; Oceanospirillales; Halomonadaceae. The record is from RNAcentral.